Molecule: ribosomal RNA, 497 nt
Filed under: uncultured bacterium
Lineage: Bacteria
Description: partial 16S ribosomal RNA
Rfam family: Bacterial small subunit ribosomal RNA
Source: RNAcentral
GAUGAACGCUGGCGGCGUGCCUAAUACAUGCAAGUCGAGCGAACAGACGAGGAGCUUGCUCCUUUGACGUUAGCGGCGGACGGGUGAGUAACACGUAGGUAACCUACCUAUAAGACUGGGAUAACUUCGGGAAACCGGAGCUAAUACCGGAUAAUAUUUCGAACCGCAUGGUUCAAUAGUGAAAGAUGGCUUUGCUAUCACUUAUAGAUGGAACUGCGCCGCAUUAGCUAGUUGGUAAGGUAACGGCUUACCAAGGCAACGAUCCGUAGCCGACCUGAGAGGGUGAUCGGCCACACUGGAACUGAGACACGGUCCAGACUCCUACGGGAGGCAGCAGUAGGGAAUCUUCCGCAAUGGGCGAAAGCCUGACGGAGCAACGCCGCGUGAGUGAUGAAGGUCUUCGGAUCGUAAAACUCUGUUAUUAGGGAAGAACAAACGUGUAAGUAACUGUGCACGUCUUGACGGUACCUAAUCAGAAAGCCACGGCUAACUACGUG